Molecule: ribosomal RNA, 385 nt
Filed under: uncultured Glomeromycotina
Lineage: Eukaryota; Fungi; Glomeromycota
Description: SSU rRNA
Rfam family: Eukaryotic small subunit ribosomal RNA
Source: RNAcentral
UGCAGCCGCGGUAAUUCCAGCUCCAAUAGCGUAUAUUAAAGUUGUUGCAGUUAAAAAGCUCGUAGUUGAAUUUCGGGAUCAAUAUGUUGGUCAUGCCUUGGUACGUACUAAUUUAUUGGUUUCUUCCUUCUGACGAACCAUGAUGUCAUUAAUUUGGUGUUAUGGGGAAUCAGGACUGUUACUUUGAAAAAAUUGAGUGUUUAAAGCAGGCUCACGCUUGAAUACAUUAGCAUGGAAUAAUGAAAUAGGACGUUUGAUUCUAUUUUGUUGGUUUCUAGGAUCGACGUAAUGAUUAAUAGGGAUAGUUGGGGCAUUAGUAUUCAAUUGUCAGAGGUGAAAUUCUUGGAUUUAUUGAAGACUAACUACUGCGAAAGCAUCUGCCAAG